CCAAAUCUAGUCCAAGAUCAUCUACACUUGUCUCAUACAAGUAACACACCUAACAGAUAUAAAACACAAAAGGGUGUACCUUAUCUAUUCCUUAAUGUGUGAUGAUAUUUAUAUGAAUAUAGGUGCAGUGAUUUUCUCGACCAUGAAAAAGAAGCGUAUUCAUCUGAAGAGCAGGUAUGGCUUUAGGGGUACAGGCUGCCUGUAAUCACUAGCACUAUUUAUGUAUCACAUACUAAGGGUGGUCCUACUUAUGGUGCUGUAUUGACUAUGCCCGAGCGCCAGGCUUGAAAUGAUGAAAUCACUUCCCAAUUGUAUGAGCUACAGAUGCUUCAGUUAUAGGUUGGUGGGCACCCAGCUACCCAGCAGGAGAUUAAAGAUAUAGCAUUGGACUAUCCUCUUGGUCAUCAUUCAAGGACCAUGCUACUGAUAGGCACUAAUUUUAUAGAUCCAAUUGAUGAUGAUAUACCAACUGACGAGAAGUGUCGGC
RNAcentral lists this long non-coding RNA (487 nucleotides) under Capsicum annuum. Its description in RNAcentral is "long non-coding RNA (CANN_LNC006548)". The record is from RNAcentral. Lineage: Eukaryota; Viridiplantae; Streptophyta; Magnoliopsida; Solanales; Solanaceae.